Molecule: ribosomal RNA, 292 nt
Filed under: uncultured bacterium
Lineage: Bacteria
Description: partial 16S ribosomal RNA
Rfam family: Bacterial small subunit ribosomal RNA
Source: RNAcentral
GUGACAGCAGCCGCGGUAAUACGUAGGGGGCAAGCGUUGUCCGGAAUUAUUGGGCGUAAAGAGCGCGUAGGCGGUUCGGUAAGUCGGCUGUGAAAGUCAAGGGCUCAACCUGGGAAUGGCAUUUGGGACUGCAAGGCUGGAGUGUGGCAGAGGAGACUGGAAUUCCUGGUGUAGCAGUGAAAUGCGUAGAUAUCAGGAGGAAUACCGAUGGCGAAGGCAGGUCUCUGGGCUAACACUGACGCUCAUGCACGAAAGCGUGGGGAGCAAACAGAAUUAGAAACCCUUGUAGUCC